Molecule: ribosomal RNA, 234 nt
Filed under: uncultured bacterium
Lineage: Bacteria
Description: partial 16S ribosomal RNA
Rfam family: Bacterial small subunit ribosomal RNA
Source: RNAcentral
GGCGGACGGGUGUGUAAUACUUAGGAAUCUGCCCAUUAGUGGGGGACAACAUUCGGAAACGGAUGCUAAUACCGCAUACGCCCUACGGGGGAAAGCGGGGGAUCUUCGGACCUCGCGCUAAUGGAUGAGCCUAAGUCGGAUUAGCUUGUUGGUGAGGUAAUGGCUCACCAAGGCGACGAUCCGUAGCUGGUCUGAGAGGACGAUCAGCCACACUGGGACUGAGACACGGCCCAG